AUCUAGCUUACGAGUCCCAAAUAGGACGAAACGUGCGUCCUGGAU
This 45-nucleotide non-coding RNA is filed under the name Schistosoma mattheei. The record is from RNAcentral. Lineage: Eukaryota; Metazoa; Platyhelminthes; Trematoda; Strigeidida; Schistosomatidae.